This 294-nucleotide ribosomal RNA is filed under the name Triticum aestivum (bread wheat). RNAcentral's name for it is "partial small subunit ribosomal RNA". Lineage: Eukaryota; Viridiplantae; Streptophyta; Magnoliopsida; Poales; Poaceae. The record is from RNAcentral.
AUGGAGCAGCCAAAGUGGGUUACCAAGCAGAUUGACAAACUGCGGCAUGCUUUCCUUUGGGCAGGAGCUGAUGCUAUCACUAGUGGUAGGUGCUUGGUGUGAUGGUCGCAGGUCUGCUCACAGGUGCAGUUUGGUGGGCUCGGUAUCCGUGAUCUUCAGAAACAAGGUAUUGCUCUAAAAGUGAGGUGGUUGUGGCUCAAUCAUAGAGAAACUGGCAAGCCAUGGCAUGAUCUUCCGAUCCCUGUUGACAAGGAAGUCAAGGCUCUGUUUAUUGCUAGUACUUGUUUCAUCUAG